Molecule: ribosomal RNA, 572 nt
Filed under: Trichoderma spirale
Lineage: Eukaryota; Fungi; Ascomycota; Sordariomycetes; Hypocreales; Hypocreaceae
Description: eukaryotic LSU rRNA
Rfam family: 5.8S ribosomal RNA (bases 210-363)
Source: RNAcentral
AGGGAUCAUUACCGAGUUUACAACUCCCAAACCCAAUGUGAACGUUACCAAACUGUUGCCUCGGCGGGAUCUCUGCCCCGGGUGCGUCGCAGCCCCGGACCAAGGCGCCCGCCGGAGGACCAACCAAAACUCUUUUGUAUACCCCCUCGCGGGUUUUUUAUAUCUGAGCCAUCUCGGCGCCUCUCGUAGGCGUUUCGAAAAUGAAUCAAAACUUUCAACAACGGAUCUCUUGGUUCUGGCAUCGAUGAAGAACGCAGCGAAAUGCGAUAAGUAAUGUGAAUUGCAGAAUUCAGUGAAUCAUCGAAUCUUUGAACGCACAUUGCGCCCGCCAGUAUUCUGGCGGGCAUGCCUGUCCGAGCGUCAUUUCAACCCUCGAACCCCUCCGGGGGGUCGGCGUUGGGGAUCGGCCCUUUACGGGGCCGGCCCCGAAAUACAGUGGCGGUCUCGCCGCAGCCUCUCCUGCGCAGUAGUUUGCACACUCGCAUCGGGAGCGCGGCGCGUCCAUUGCCGUAAAACACCCAACUUUCUGAAAUGUUGACCUCGGAUCAGGUAGGAAUACCCGCUGAACUUAA